ACUCGCGUGCUAUACAUGCAGUCGAGCGAAUGGAUUAAGAGCUUGCUCUUAUGAGUUAGCGGCGGACGGGUGAGUAACACGUGGGUAACCUGCCCAUAAGACUGGGAUAACUCCGGAACCGGGGCUAAUACCGGAUAACAUUAUGAACCGCAUGGUUCGAAAUUGAAAGGCGGCUAGGGCUGUCACUUAUGGAUGGACCCGCGUCGCAUUAGCUAGUUGGUGAGGUAACGGCUCACCAAGGCAACGAUGCGUAGCCGACCUGAGAGGGUGAUCGGCCACACUGGGACUGAGACACGGCCCAGACUCCUACGGGAGGCAGCAGUAGGGAAUCUUCCGCAAUGGACGAAAGUCUGACGGAGCAACGCCGCGUGAGUGAUGAAGGCUUCGGGUCGUAAAACUCUGUUGUUAGGGAAGAACAAGUGCUAGUUGAAUAAGCUGGCACCUACUCGGUACCUAACCAGAAAGCCACGGCUAACUACGUGCCAGCAGCCGCGGUAAUACGUAGGUGGCAAGCGUUAUCCGGAAUUAUUGGGCGUAAAGCGCGCGCAGGUGGUUUCUUAAGUCUGAUGUGAAAGCCCACGGCUCAACCGUGGAGGUCAUUGGAGUGUGGGAGACUUGAGUGCAGAAGAGGAAAGUGGAAUUCCAUGUGUAGCGGUGAAAUGCGUAGAGAUAUGGAGGAACACCAGUGGCGAAGGCGACUUUCUGGUCUGUAACUGACACUGAGCAGCGAAAGCGUGGGGAGCAACAGGAUUAGCAGCCCUGGUAGUCCACGCCGUAAACGAUGAGUGCUAAGUGUUAGAGGGUUUCCGCCCUUUAGUGCUGAAGUUAACGCAUUAAGCACUCCGCCUGGGGAGUACCUACGCAAGGCUGAAACUCAAAGACAUUGACGGACGCCCGCACAAGCGGUGGAGCAUGUGGUUUAAUGGGAAGCAACGCGAAGAACCUUACCAGGUCUUGACAUCCUCUGAGUGCCCUAGAGAUAGGGCUUCUCCUUCGGGAGCAGUCUGACAGGUGGUGCCUCGUUGUCGUCAGCUCUCGUGAGAUGUUGGGUUAAGAGCCGCAGUAAGCGCAACCCUUGAUCUUAGUUGCCAUCAUUAAGUACGCACUCUAAGGUGACUGCCGGUGACAAACCGGAGGAAGGUGGGGAUGACGUCAAAUCAUCAUAUCCCUUAUGACCUGGCUACACACGUGCUACAAUGGACGGUACAAAGAGCUGCAAGACCGCGAGGUGGAGCUAAUCUCAUAUCACCGUUCUCAGUUCGGAUUGUAGGCUGCAACUCGCCUACAUGAAGCUGGAAUCGCUAGUAAUCGCGGAUCAGCAUGCCGCGGUGAAUACGUUCCCGGGCCUUGACCACACCGCCCGUCACACACGAGAGUUUGUAACACCCGAAGUCGGUGGGGUAACCUAGUGGAGCCAGCCGCCUAAGGUGGACA
RNAcentral lists this ribosomal RNA (1434 nucleotides) under uncultured Bacillus sp. RNAcentral describes it as "bacterial SSU rRNA". It matches the Rfam family "Bacterial small subunit ribosomal RNA". The record is from RNAcentral. Lineage: Bacteria; Bacillati; Bacillota; Bacilli; Caryophanales; Bacillaceae.